This 179-nucleotide small RNA is filed under the name Chelonoidis abingdonii (Abingdon island giant tortoise). RNAcentral's name for it is "TUC338 (ENSCABG00000007396.1)". The record is from RNAcentral. Lineage: Eukaryota; Metazoa; Chordata; Testudines; Testudinidae.
UUACUUGCUUUGGAAAGUCAGCUUGUCCUACCCCACAGACCUGUUGCAGCUGGGCAGCGGCAGUACAAGCUCCACACACUUUUACUCAUUUGCCUGAGAUCUGAACAGCUGGAAAAACCAUACCAUUUAAUUGAAGAGUGUGCUGUUCAGUCUCCAGGCCCAUUUAAUCCUUAAUAUAU